Molecule: ribosomal RNA, 445 nt
Filed under: uncultured bacterium
Lineage: Bacteria
Description: bacterial SSU rRNA
Rfam family: Bacterial small subunit ribosomal RNA
Source: RNAcentral
UCCAGACUCCUACGGGAGGCAGCAGUGGGGAAUAUUGCACAAUGGGGGAAACCCUGAUGCAGCGACGCCGCGUGAGCGAUGAAGUAUCUCGGUAUGUAAAGCUCUCUCAGCAGGGAAGAAAGUGACAGUACCUGACUAAGAAGCCCCGGCUAACUACGUGCCAGCAGCCGCGGUAAUACGUAGGGGGCAAGCGUUAUCCGGAUUCACUGGGCGUAAAGGGAGCGCAGGCGGCACGGCAAGUCUGGUGUGAAAACCCGGGGCUCAACCCCGGGACUGCAUUGGAAACUGUGCAGCUAGAGUGCAGGAGAGGUAAGUGGAAUUCCUAGUGUAGCGGUGAAAUGCGUAGAUAUUAGGCGGAACACCAGUGGCGAAGGCGGCUUACUGGACUGUAACUGACGUUGAGGCUCGAAAGCGUGGGGAGCAAACAGGAUUAGAUACCCCGGUA